GCCCUUUUUUUACAAAAACAUGUCUUGAUGAUUUAUUUUAUAUUAAGUCUAACCUGCUCAAUGAUUUUAUUAAUUAAAUAGCCGCAGUAUUUUGACUGUGCGAAGGUAGCAUAAUCAUUUGUCUUUUAAUUAAAGGCUUGUAUGAAUGGUUGGAUAAAGGAAUAACUUUCUUUAUAUUAAAUGUUGAAUUUAAUAUUUUAGUUAAAAAGCUUAAAUGUUAAAAAGGGACGAGAAGACCCUAUAGAAUUUUAAUAUAAUUUUAGAAAUAUAUUUAUUUGGUAAAUAAUAAUAAUUUCUGGAAUUAUAUUUUUGUUGGGGCGACAUUAGGAUUGGUAAAACUCCUAUAAAUUAAUAUUUACUAAUUUGUAUAUUUUAGAUCCUAUAUUAAGGAUUAUUAGAUUAAAUUACCUUAGGGAUAACAGCGUAAUUUUUUUGGAGAGUUCUUAUCAAUAAAGAAGUUUGCGACCUCGAUGUUGGAUUAAAAUUAGAUUUAAGUGCAGAAGCUUAAUUUCUAGGUCUGUUCGACCUUUAAUAUUUUACAUGAUCUGAGUUCAACCCGGAA
This 562-nucleotide ribosomal RNA is filed under the name Podisus nigrispinus. RNAcentral describes it as "partial large subunit ribosomal RNA". It matches the Rfam family "Bacterial large subunit ribosomal RNA", at positions 1798 to 2621 of the family's 2925-position model. Lineage: Eukaryota; Metazoa; Arthropoda; Insecta; Hemiptera; Pentatomidae. The record is from RNAcentral.